CACGCGCGUGACCCCGGAGCUCUCCGCCGCGUCGCCAUUCGCUGCGCCGCUUACUCGUCAAGGCACGCCGCGCGCUGACUGGCCGCGGCCACCAGUCUCCAGGCCCCAGACGCCCCUCUCCGCCCCCCGCCCCCGCCCCCCAGCAAAUAAUAAACAAUCGAGUAAAAUUCUAAGGAAGGAGAGAGAGGAGAGGGAAAAAAGGAGAGGGCGCACUAGAAACCAAUCCUUCGCGGGCUGGCGGUGGGAGGGUUCAAGGGGGGACGCGAGAGGACAGCGGACGGGAGGAAGGGAGCCGACUUGGGGCGGUGGGUCCUCCAGCGACGAGGAGGCGUCGGGGCGGAAAGUUGCAGCGCACUCGACUGGGCGCGACUGAACGCAUAUCCCAGGGGCAUUCCGAAAGAGUGGAAGAGUCAAAGAUUCAGUGGAUUAACAGCCUUGUGAGCUUCACUUCACAGUGAGGAAUUGGGGGGCAGGCACAUGAUAAAGCCAUUUCCCUCAAAGAGCUUACUUGAGGGUAUAAGACAUGUUACUUGGGGGUAUGAAACAUGUUAAAAAGAAACAUUGCAAGUUUAAAAAUAGUAGAAGGCCAGGUGCAGUGGCUCACACCUGUAAUCCCAGCACUUUGGGAGGCCAAGGCAGGAGGAUGCCUUGAGCCCAGGAGUUCAAGACUAGCCUAGACAACAUGACGAAACCCGGGUGUCUACAAAAAAUACAAGAAGUCCCAGCUAUGGGAGGCCGAGGUGUAAGGAUGGAUCGCUUGAUCCCAGGAGGUCCAGGCUGCAAUGAGCCAUGAUUGUACCACUGCACUGCAGCGUGGGUGACAUGAGGCCCUGUCCUCCCUCCCCCUCCACAAAGGAAAAAAAAAAAACAGUAGAAGACAAAUACAAGAGGUCAUACGUAGAGUGCUGGGGCCAGUCUGCCAGCACACCAUUGCCCCUACUCCACUCAGCCACUGUCUUGCAUUCUGAGGAGGAAGAUUUGUUCUGAAUAGAAAGUAGAGGAAACAGAAGCACUGGAGAAACUGUACGUCGAUUCUGCUUAGCAACUGAUUAUACAUUAUCUAACCUUGUUUUUAAAGUACUUCAAUUUAACACAAUGGAGCAAAUAACCAGAACAAACUUCCUGAUGAAAACUAAAGCUGGAUAAGAUUUUUAAAAAUUUUUAAAAUGGAUUUUAUUGAGCUGGCAAAAAAGCAAGAAACCCACAGAGACCAAAAACAAAGGUGGGAAGUGAGCACACUCCUAGAAAAUCUGACAACAUUUGAGCUUCUACUUUGACAGGUGUGCAGAGUCUGGGACACAGAAGAUAAAUCCUCAGUCUUGUCCAAGAUCAGGAGAAUAAGAAGACUCUACCCCCCUAAAAGCAGGAGUCCAAAGGGCCAAAGUAAAGGUGAAUGUGAAAUUAACUGGCUUUGCAGAAGAGGAUCCCAGGAAAAAUCGUCUGUCUUGAUCAAAGUCCUGAAUAAAAGAGUAUAAAAAAUAUUCUUCCUUGAAAAU
Molecule: long non-coding RNA, 1496 nt
Organism: Symphalangus syndactylus (siamang)
Lineage: Eukaryota; Metazoa; Chordata; Mammalia; Primates; Hylobatidae
Source: RefSeq, a predicted model, not a curated record